AAUACGUUCCCGGGCCUUGUACACACCGCCCGUCACGUCACGAAAGUCGGCAACACCCGAAGCCGGUGGCCCAACCCUUUUGGGAGGGAGCCGUCGAAGGUGGGGUCGGCGAUUGGGACG
Molecule: ribosomal RNA, 120 nt
Filed under: uncultured bacterium
Lineage: Bacteria
Description: partial 16S ribosomal RNA
Rfam family: Bacterial small subunit ribosomal RNA
Source: RNAcentral